This 459-nucleotide ribosomal RNA is filed under the name uncultured bacterium. RNAcentral describes it as "SSU rRNA". It matches the Rfam family "Bacterial small subunit ribosomal RNA", at positions 26 to 518 of the family's 1533-position model. The record is from RNAcentral.
AGAAUCAACGCUGGCGGCGUGCCUAACACAUGCAAGUCGAACGAGAAAGUGGAGCAAUCCAUGAGUACAGUGGCGUACGGGUGAGUAACACGUGACUAACCUACCCUCGAGUGGGGAAUAACCUCGGGAAACCGGGGCUAAUACCGCAUAACAUCUUCGGAUCAAAUGCGUAAGCAGCUUGAGGAGGGGGUCGCGGCCGAUUAGCUAGUUGGCGGGGUAAUGGCCCACCAAGGCAAUGAUCGGUAGCCGGCCUGAGAGGGCGCACGGCCACACUGGAACUGAAACACGGUCCAGACUCCUACGGGAGGCAGCAGUGGGGAAUUUGCGCAAUGGGGGAAACCCUGACGCAGCAACGCCGCGUGGAGGAUGAAGCCCCUUGGGGUGUAAACUCCUUUCGAUCGGGACGAUUAUGACGGUACCGGAUGAAGAAGCACCGGCUAACUCUGCGCCAGCAGCCGC